This 379-nucleotide ribosomal RNA is filed under the name Chrysomantis sp. MN005. RNAcentral describes it as "partial 12S ribosomal RNA". Lineage: Eukaryota; Metazoa; Arthropoda; Insecta; Mantodea; Hymenopodidae. The record is from RNAcentral.
AUACCCUAUUAUUUUUAAUGUAAAAUAUAUAUAUAUAAAACCAGAGUAUUAGUAGUUAUGGUCUUAAAACUUAAAGAAUUUGGCGGUAUUAUAGUCUAUUUAGAGGAAUCUGUUAUGUAAUUGAUAAUCCACGUUGAACCUUACUUGUAUUAAUUCUUGUAUACCGCUGUUUAAGAAGAUAUUUUUAGGUAAUUUUCUAAAUAUAUAAUUAAAUAAAAUUUCAAGUCAAGGUGCAGUAAUAUAUAAGUUGAAUAAUGGAUUACAAUAAAAUAUAUUUAUUAUGGAUAAUUGUUGUAAUAUAAUUUGAAGGUGGAUUUAAUUGUAAUUUUGUAAAGAUUAUUAAAAUGAUUUUAAGCUCUAUAAUAUGUACACAUCGCCC